UCCCAUAGUAACUGCGAGUGAAAGGGGAACAGCCCAGCGCCGAAUCCUGUUGCUGGCAACGGUGGCAGGAACUGUGGCGUGAAGAAGGUGGUUACCGGUGUGGCUUGCUCGCGUAAGUUCUCCUGAGUGAGGCUCCAUCCCGUGGAGGGUGCAAGGCCCGUAUCGUGAGCAGUUGAUGCCGGUGUACAUCUUCGGAGAGUCGCCUUGUUUGUGAGUACAAGGUGAAGUCGGUGGUAAACUCCAUCGAAGGCUAAAUAUGACCACGAGUCCGAUAGCGAACAAGUACCGUGAGGGAAAAUUGAAAAGCACUUUGAAGAGAGAGCGAAACAGUGCGUGAAACCGCUCAGAGGCAAGCAGAUGGGGCCUCGAAGGCAAAGCAGUGAAUUCAGCCGGUACGGUGCGUGGCGGGUUGGUGUUGAGAUCGCAAGACUCUAGCCGAUUCUGUUCUCUGCGUGUCUGCCGGUGCACUUUUGCUGUUUGUACGUCACCGCCGUUGAGCGAGCAUCCGUCGGGUAUGCGUGUGAAGCCUUAUUCCUUCGGGCGUAGGUGCUUACUGCUAACUCUGUACGCGUUUGCGCUUCAACCGGUCAUGUCAGCGUGUGCCAGCGUUAGCGUUGGGUCGGUAUGCUCUGUGGUGCGUUGUGGGAUGACGAGCUUGCUCGGCUCCUCAUCGUGCAAUAGACUCGUUGCCGGCUUUCAACGUGGGCACAUUGUAGAUUCGGUGGCGAGUAGAUGGC
RNAcentral lists this ribosomal RNA (737 nucleotides) under Paramacrobiotus sp. Its description in RNAcentral is "partial large subunit ribosomal RNA". It matches the Rfam family "Eukaryotic large subunit ribosomal RNA", at positions 76 to 638 of the family's 3401-position model. Lineage: Eukaryota; Metazoa; Tardigrada; Eutardigrada; Parachela; Macrobiotidae. The record is from RNAcentral.